AAAAACGCCUGAACCAAAAGCAAGAGAAAUCACAUGGUCAGGUGGAAUGAUGACUGCCAAGGGGCGUGGAAAGAUAAAAGAAUGAGUAGCAGGAACCUCUGAUUCUGACGCCUCCCGUGGAAGGAAUAAAUGUUGAUCUGGUACUUGACAGCCCUCAAGGGGUCUAUGAGGUGUAUUGGGUCAGCAUGACGAGUCUGGUCGAAAAG
RNAcentral lists this long non-coding RNA (206 nucleotides) under Lathyrus oleraceus (garden pea). RNAcentral describes it as "Pisum sativum (pea) long non-coding RNA (PSAT_LNC006907)". The record is from RNAcentral. Lineage: Eukaryota; Viridiplantae; Streptophyta; Magnoliopsida; Fabales; Fabaceae.